GAUGAACGCUGGCGGCGUGCCUAAUACAUGCAAGUCGAGCGAACAGACGAGGAGCUUGCUCCUCUGACGUUAGCGGCGGACGGGUGAGUAACACGUGGAUAACCUACCUAUAAGACUGGGAUAACUUCGGGAAACCGGAGCUAAUACCGGAUAAUAUAUUGAACCGCAUGGUUCAAUAGUGAAAGACGGUUUUGCUGUCACUUAUAGAUGGAUCCGCGCCGCAUUAGCUAGUUGGUAAGGUAACGGCUUACCAAGGCGACGAUUCGUAGCCGACCUGAGAGGGUGAUCGGCCACACUGGAACUGAGACACGGUCCAGACUCCUACGGGAGGCAGCAGUAGGGAAUCUUCCGCAAUGGGCGAAAGCCUGACGGAGCAACGCCGCGUGAGUGAUGAAGGUCUUCGGAUCGUAAAACUCUGUUAUUAGGGAAGAACAAAUGUGUAAGUAAAUAUGCACGUCUUGACGGUACCUAAUCAGAAAGCCACGGCUAACUACGUG
This 497-nucleotide ribosomal RNA is filed under the name uncultured bacterium. Its description in RNAcentral is "partial 16S ribosomal RNA". It matches the Rfam family "Bacterial small subunit ribosomal RNA", at positions 28 to 507 of the family's 1533-position model. The record is from RNAcentral.